CCUACGGGUGGCAGCAGUGGGGAAUAUUGGGCAAUGGACGCAAGUCUGACCCAGCAACGCCGCGUGAGGGAAGAAGGCUUUCUGGUUGUAAACUUCUUUUAAUGGAGAAGAGCAGGAGACGGUACCCCUUUAAUCGCCCACGGCUAACUACGUGCCAGCAGCCGCGGUAAUACGGAGGUGGCAAGCGUGGUCCGGAUUUACUGGGUGUAAAGGGCGUGCAGCCGGAGAGAUAAGUCCGAUGUGAACUCCACGGGCUCAACCCGUGAACUGCAUUUGAAACUGUUUCCCUUGAGUGUCGGAGAGGUAAGCGGAAUUCCGUGUGUAGCGGUGAAAUGCGUAGAUAUAAGGAAGAACACCAGUGGCGAAGGCGGAUUACUGGACGAUAACUGACGGUGAGGCGCGAAAGCGUGGGGAGCAAACAGGAUUAGAUACCCCAGUAGUC
This 442-nucleotide ribosomal RNA is filed under the name uncultured bacterium. RNAcentral's name for it is "partial 16S ribosomal RNA". It matches the Rfam family "Bacterial small subunit ribosomal RNA", at positions 338 to 795 of the family's 1533-position model. The record is from RNAcentral.